RNAcentral lists this long non-coding RNA (1570 nucleotides) under Hordeum vulgare. RNAcentral's name for it is "long non-coding RNA (HVUL_LNC006374)". The record is from RNAcentral. Lineage: Eukaryota; Viridiplantae; Streptophyta; Magnoliopsida; Poales; Poaceae.
GCCGAGGGCAAGUCCGACGUCGACGACAUCUUCGACCCGCCCUACUAUGAGUGGUUCCAGUUUGACAAGGUCCUCCACCCUCCACCUUCCCCCCUUCCUCCCGUAUUCCCAUUGCCUGAUCUCUACUAUGACUGGUCUGUUAUUCAAAUUUGACUGGGACUUGCAAGUUUUUGAUAGAUUUAACUUUUCUCACACACUUCAGGCGUGUAGUAACAAUUAAAUUGUAGGUUAAAUGUUGGGCUAGAGAAAUAUUGAUGAUAGUUUGAUUGGAAAAUUGUUAUAUGUCAGCUUCUGCAAUCCAUGGUACAACUACAAACCUGUGGGUAUUGUUUCUAAAAUAUGCAGUAUAGCACAUGAAUGUAUGGCAUACAAGUAGCAGACCUACAUAAUUUGAAUUGUUUUCGUGACUUCGUGGGUCAACUCUAGGCUGCGGUUUUAGGAUCUGGCAGUAGCCAGAUCUGUUUGUGCUUAUGCCCGAAGGUAAAAUCUGGCGAUUUGGGUGAGUAAACGGAAGUUUGCGAAGGAAUUAACCUUUUAAGCUUCCAAUGUCAAAUAUAGUUCAACCUUAUGCUGUCAACUCUGCAUAUGGAGUAGUAUUUGCUUGGAGAGCAGCAUUGCUUAGCAGAGUGUCUGUGUGUUUUGCUUGCUGGGUCAGAGUAGUAGGUGGAGUAUUUUGCUGGAUCAUAUCAUCAAUCAGUCAAUAAUAUCAUGUGUUCGUGUAUGUAUGUAACUAAGAUUCGAUUCCAACUCCUAAGAUAUUAUUACACGGAGGUAAGAACCUGGAUCAUAUGCAGUGUUAUAUUAUAGAAACUUGUCAAAGCCAUCAGGAUAUUACUGUUGUUUAUGGAUGAAUAGUGGCAGCAACGAAGCUUGACACAAACUCUUAUUUAAAGAUGAAUAGUGGCAGCAAGUGUGAAGAUUGUGCUAUCCUGCUUGGUACAUUUGUAUCCCUGCUUAUCUCAAGUCUGAACAUUCAAAUGCUAUUUGGUACUAGAAGUGAAAAUAGUACAUAUGUUUGGUUGCUUGGGUGACAUGUUAGUGUGUUUGUAUAAACGAUAGAUGAGAUAAAAAUAUGGCCAUGCUCAUGUUCUACCUUCAUGUGCACCAUUGCUAAUAUCCUGAUGACGCCCUACAAUUAAUUUGAAACGUGGAACUAUUCAUCUUUAAAUAGUUAAAUAAUGUGCACCUGAGCCACUAUUCAUUUUUUUGUAAAUUCUGGUAUUUAAAUACCUGCAGUGUUAGUUCACACUUUUUUUGUAAAUGUUGUUAUUUAAAUACCUGCAUUGUUAGUUCACAUCUUAUUCUUAUUUUUUGCACAGGUGAAGUACAAAGCCAAGUGUGAAGCUAUGAAGCGUAUCAACAAACAGUAGCAUAUGUAUUGUAAUAGUAGGCAGUAUUAGGUAUAUCUAGGUAGUGGUGUAGUGUAAAGAUUGUAAUAGACAAAUUUAAUGUUGGUUUGGACGAAUUUCAUUUGCUCCCUAGCCUGUUUGAAAUAUUGAUUCUGAAUGUGAUUUGAAUACCUAUGAAAUGGCAACUUGACAAGGGGACCAAGUUAUGAUAUUUAUUUGAC